This 439-nucleotide long non-coding RNA is filed under the name Brassica napus (rape). Its description in RNAcentral is "long non-coding RNA (BNAP_LNC019593)". The record is from RNAcentral. Lineage: Eukaryota; Viridiplantae; Streptophyta; Magnoliopsida; Brassicales; Brassicaceae.
CGUUCCGGACGUCUGUGGGUCGAUACGGUGGACAGCACGUGCGGUACGGUCUGGGUGAUAGGAUGGAACGGUACGGAAGCACGAUCCGAUGGGAAAACAUGGUCGGUAUGGAUGGAAUGAUCAGAUGGGAUGACACGGGCAGUAUGUUCAGCACGAAUGAUGGUAAAACCUCGGUUGGGUCGAGCUGGAUGACAAGAUCGCCACCUUGGGCCGUGUCCAUGAUCCAAGCCGAUCGAUGCUUGAUUCGGGGCGUAUCACCAAGGCUAUUACCUUAUUGUAACGCUCAUACGCGGAUUCGGAAUAAAACAUUUCUUGCUCUCUUUUCUAUUCUCAUAUUUACUUUUCUUCUAUAUUCUCGUGUUAUGAUUGCUUGGCGUGUGGUUUAGCAGAUAUCCGGGACCUCUGGAAAAUUUAGGGUUUCCUGUCUUCCCCGAAUCAA